RNAcentral lists this ribosomal RNA (468 nucleotides) under uncultured bacterium. RNAcentral's name for it is "partial 16S ribosomal RNA". It matches the Rfam family "Bacterial small subunit ribosomal RNA", at positions 28 to 507 of the family's 1533-position model. The record is from RNAcentral.
GAUGAACGCUGGCGGCGUGCUUAAUACAUGCAAGUCGAACGGACAGGUCCUGAUCUUGCGGGGUGCACGUUAGCCGAACGGGUGUGAAACACGCGAGUAUCACGCCCUUGUAUUUGUGAUAACUUCUGGGAAAUCGGGCUCAUAUAGGAUAGGAGCUCCUGCAGCAUGGUGGUGGUUGGAAAGAUUCGGCGGUUGUGGCUGGUCUGGCAGCUUAUCAGCUUGAUGGUGUGGUAGGGGAUUACCAAGUCUUUGAAGGGUAGCCGGCCUGAGAGCGUGACCGGCCACAAUGGUACUGAGAGACGGCCCAGUAUGCUACGGGAGGCAGCAGGGGAGAAUAUGGCGCAAUGGGCGGAAGCCUGAUGCAGCGGCGCCGCGUGCGUGAUGACGGCCUUCGAGUGAUAAACCGCUUUCGACUGUGACGAAGCGGGAGUGACGGUAAUUGGUAAGGAAGCACCGGCUAACUACGUG